This 1017-nucleotide long non-coding RNA is filed under the name Homo sapiens (human). Its description in RNAcentral is "HSALNT0324788". The record is from RNAcentral. Lineage: Eukaryota; Metazoa; Chordata; Mammalia; Primates; Hominidae.
UGCUGGAGGAGGAAUGAUUAUCCUCAUUACUCUUGUUGGGAUCCACUGCUUUUGCCAUGAUUAUCCCUGUGGCUGCAUCUCGGGGCAUCUGUGGGCUUGUUGCCUUGUGGUAAACACAUGCAGACGGAGCUGAUGCAGAUGCAUUCAGCAGCGCAGGGCUCCUAUCUCCUGACCGGAUGUGGACAUGGUCUUCUCGGGAUGGCAGCCCUGCAGCCCUGAGCUGAGUCUGCCCUGUGGGUUUGCGGUCACCAGUGUCCCCGAGGCCCCUCAGGCCCGAGCUGCCCAAUGCAUCCAUGCUCUCUUUCAAACUUUCACAUUUCUGUUUAUUUCACUUAGCAUCUAUUUUGGAUUAUGUUCUAGGGUAGAAAUUUAAUAGUUUUCUAAUCGUUAUCCUUCUGUAUAAUCAGUCUUUCUGCAUUGGUUUGCAAGGACUCAGCCACUGCACACCCACACUGGUCUCUGGAGGGGCAGCCACGUUCUAUCGUGGUAACGUCCGCCCCGUGGCAGGGACUGCUGACUGUCCCUACGCUCUCCUCCUUCCUCUUGGUGAUGGAAGCUACCACCCGCCGAGUUGCAGAUGCCCACAUUUCCCGGACCCUGUGCAGCUCGCUGUGGCACAGAGACUGCAUGUGGGACAAUGGGAAUACUACCAAAGAGAGGCUGAGGAGUGAGGUGAGCCAGCCUCCAUCCCGUGGGAGAGAACCACAUGACGGGCCAGCCCCAUCCCGUGGGAGAGAACCACAUGACGGGCCAGCCCCAUCCCGUGGGAGAGAACCACAUGACGGGCCAGCCCAAUCCUGUGGGAGAGAACCACAUGACGGUGGAGCCACACGUCCACCAGAGCCUAAGCGUUGGGGCCCCGAGUGACCACACGGAACCACGCUGCCCCAGGCACAGGAGCACUCAACUCUGCAGCCUCACCAGAGGGAGACGGCGCUGCCUGCCCGAGCCGCUUCACACUCAGACCUUUUCACUACAGCAGAUUCAUCUACUCACAACAAAGGGGUUGUGAGUUCU